RNAcentral lists this long non-coding RNA (793 nucleotides) under Homo sapiens (human). Its description in RNAcentral is "HSALNT0340305". The record is from RNAcentral. Lineage: Eukaryota; Metazoa; Chordata; Mammalia; Primates; Hominidae.
GCCAGGCUCUCAAAAAGGGUAGCCUGAAACCCUAUUGGCCACACGGAACCUCUUUUAGAUGCUGUUUGUGGACCUGCCGAAAUCGAAUGCCACUCAGGCUUUCUGAAACCCUAUGGGGGUGGGAAGAGGCAGUAGCUGACACCUCUGAGAGCAGAGGUUUGUGAAGAUGUGGCAUAGAUGAGGAGGCUAGCAGAGGGGGGGUAGUCAGACACUACCAACAAACUUCCUUUUUGUUCUCUUUGUUCUCUCUUCGAGGUGGGCCACCCCGCUUAGCUCCCUUUUGUCCAAGUGUGUUGCAAGGGAGCAGCAUUUCACCGGGAGAUUUGCACGCCAGAACCAGCAGUCGAUUUGGAUACCAUCAAGACACCUGAAACCUUAUCAUGAACCAGAUGCCAAGGAAGAGAUUCUGGAAGGAUCCUGAGGACCCCCCUGGUUGCAGCCAUGUCAAGACUGAUGCUGAGGAGGACCCCAACUGUCACGAGCAACACCCAUCAAACACAGCCACCCACCUGGGGACAGACCAAGAAGCUGCCACAGAUGGCAGAAGAAAACCUGAAGAAAGCAGGACAACCAGUCACAAUGAGUAAUUUAAUGGUAGCUAUGAUAGCGGUAAUCACCACUGCUCCUGCAGAUGUGGAUCCUGACUCCUGAGAGAAGUAGCUCACCGUGACAAAGCUGUCUUUGCUUUUAUCGAUUUGCAAAUCAAAGAAGGGGGACAUAUUGGGAGCAGGCCUCCCAAAAUCUGGCCAUAAACUGGCCACAAAACUGGCCAUAAACAAAAUCUCUGCAGCAC